AGUCAACAUGCCCAGGGGACGUGGAUAACCUCGGGAAACUGAGGAUAAACCGCGAUAGGCCAUGAUUUCUGGAAUGGUUCAUGGCCGAAAUCUAUGUGGCCCCUGGAUUGGACUGCGGCCGAUCAGGCUGUUGGUGAGGUAAUGGCCCACCAAACCUGUAACCGGUACGGGCUCUGAGAGGAGGAGCCCGGAGAUGGGCACUGAGACAAGGGCCCAGGCCCUAUGGGGCGCAGCAGGCGCGAAAUCUCUGCAAUAGGCGAAAGCUUGACAGGGUUACUCUGAGUGGUUCCCGUUAAGGGGAUCUUUCGGCACCUUUAAAAAUGGUGCAGAAUAAGGGGUGGGCAAGUCUGGUGUCAGCCGCCGCGGUAAUACCAGCACCCCGAGUGGUCGGGACGAUUAUUGGGCCUAAAGCAUCCGUAGCCGGUACUGCAAGUCUUCCGUUAAAUCCACCUGCUUAACAGUUGGGCUGCGGGGGAUACUACAGCGCUAGGAGGCGGGAGAGGCAAGCGGUACUCAAUGGGUAGGGGUAAAAUCCGCUGAUCCAUUGA
RNAcentral lists this ribosomal RNA (548 nucleotides) under uncultured archaeon. RNAcentral's name for it is "bacterial SSU rRNA". It matches the Rfam family "Archaeal small subunit ribosomal RNA", at positions 102 to 653 of the family's 1478-position model. The record is from RNAcentral.